CUGCUGAUGUCUCACUGCCACAGAAGCCAGAAAGCAGGAGAUUCUGGGUUGAAAAUCAGAGGCCACAUCUCAGGACUUAGAGGAAAGUGAUGAGUGGAGAACAAGAUGCUCAUCUCAGCACGGCUUGAGAUAAUGGUCACUCUUCCAGGAAACCUGGUCAUCUUCCCUUGUGACGGUGGUGAGUGAUGGCUGCCUGGUGUGUCUAAGUUGUGUUCACAUGGCUCCUGAGAGCUGACUGAUUUUAAUGCCUGACUCCAUUCAACAAAAUCCAAUAAAGCUUUAUUUGACCACCUACUGUGAGCCAAUCGAUAGAAAAUGAGCUUGGAUUAUAAAAAAUAAUAACACACAAAGUGGUAGUCACCUUCUCCAGUCGUUCUACCUGUAAGUUGUAUGCAAAAGAAGAAGAGGAUAGACAAAUUGAGACAGACCCAUAUAUACAAACCAGCUGCCACAGGAGCAUGAACAAGAUUCUGUUGAUCCUGAGACUAGCAUAGAAAACUUCACCCAGCAGCAGUCAAGGGAUGCUGCAUACAAAGGGUCUGCUAUGGAAACCUGCUGAUCUGUCUCAAUCCCGCUCCCAUUCUUCUCACAGAAAUUAUUCUUUCCUCUUUGUUCAUAAAUUAUGAGACACGUAAAAGUUCUGUAAAAUAAGUAGAACUUUGAUAAUGCUGUAUUACUCUCUUUUCUGCUACCAUAAGAAAAUUCCAGAGUGUGGAUAACUUGCAACAACAACAAAAAAAUCUUUCUUCUGCUCACAGUUUUAGGAACUGGAAUUCCACAUGGCAAGGAGCCAGCUGUUUAGAGGAGCUCUGUCAGUCACAUCACUUAACAGAUUGGCAUCACUUCAGCAGAACUCUGUGAGAGGGAAAGAUCACACGGCCAAACUAGAAGUACAACUUAAGACAUGACCCAUGUCCUAACCCAUGAGCAUGACCUUAAUCAUUUUUACAAGUAGUAACCCAAAUAAGAGCUAAUAGCCUAUGCUCCACCUUAGGUUCCUUUCAUGAACACAUCAGACAUUUUCAACACAGGAACCUUUAGAAGACAUGUAAGCCAUUUCCAUACCAUAUCCCAUACCUUUAAGAGGCAUUUAUAAUUGCUCUAAAUCUUUGCUUUCUAUUUUCCUCUUCACUAUUUUCUUGCAUUUUGACUAUCCUUGUGGUACUCACAAUUUCCCAAAUAACCUUACUGUCCUUACAUAGUAUCUAUACAGAAUACCUUCCUUCCAGUUUUUAUAUCUGCCCAAAUUCUAUGCUUCUUCCAGUUAACUAAAACACCUCUGAGAAGAUAUAAUUUCUUACUGAAUAUAGCGUUAUUAGUUAUUAAUUAGUUAUUAGUUUUUGCUUACUUGAUUUACAUGUCUAUUACUCAAGGCCCACAAGUAAUGAAUAUUUACAUAUUUUCCUUUGUUUACAUAUUUCUAUUGCUGAGUGAAGAGUCUAUAAUACCUACAUAUUUACAUGUUGGCUAAGACAGUGUGCAUGGCCAGUAACUGGCUAACACUGAAAUGGACCCACCCAUUCUCACAGGUAGUAUGAAUACACACACACACAUACACACACACACACACAAAUCAAAGCUCAGACUUCAUUUUUCUCUUUAUUAGGGGAGUUAUGAGCAGAUUUCUGACUCCUUGGACUCUUCUGAAGCUAUGAAUGGAAAUUAUAAUUCCAUAGCAACUUUUCAUCACUAUUAUAGAAAAAAAUCUAUGCAAAAUUGCUUGAAAAAUUGUAAUCCAAUAUAAAUGAACAUUCUUUUAAAAGAUGAUGUCUAUAGCAGGAAAGAAAACUUAGUGAACCCACAAAUGAAGCUGCAUUAAUUUUACGAAGCAUUAUCCCCUUUUAGUUAUUCAGUAGCUACAUGGAAAUGUUGCCUGAGCCAGGCUAAUGUGAGAGCAGUUCAGCAUCUUCUUAUGGACAGUGCUGCUUGGAAAAGGAUCAUGUGGCUGGGUUAUCAAAAAUUAGAAAGGGCAUGGAAAUAGAAGAAUGACCUGGGUCUAAGUUUUUCAUCCAUUCUUUCCACAUAUAUCAAAUAGAAAUACUGAAUCCCAUUCAUUGUAUAAGAGAUGGGUAGUGCAAAUGACUGUGAUGUUGGCCAAUACUUUUAUGUUUUUUAAUCAGUGUGUUAUGAUACACACUGAGUAUAUGUGCAUACUGAACACUAAACACCCACACAAAUAUGUGCUUCAAUAUGGAUUUUGUUGUUGUUGUUAUUGUAGAGAGGUAUGAAGCUUUACCUGAAGGCAUGCCCUUUCCUCUUCUGGAGAAGUCUGACCACUUAAGCAUGUUCAUUCAAGAAGUGCAAAAUUACUUAACGAGUUUCCUCUGGUGACACAACAGCAUGAGGAAUAAGAAGGAAGUUAAGAACAUGUCCUCUGGCAUCAGUGUCUGGAGUUGAAGACUAGUUCUGAUUCUCAUCCACUGGGACCUGGGAUAAGUGCUCACCAUUUUUGCCUCUUACUUUCUUCAAACCCCAAGUAGUGAUAGCAUCAGUCAAUAUCUCAUAAUUUUAAGCAAACACACAGACAUGUAUACUGUAUACCUCAGAACAAUAGCUGAUUUAAAUAUGAACUCCUGUAUAAUUGGCUUGGCUUCUUUUCCAGAAUGAAGUCUUCCCGGUGUUAAGGCUCUCCUCAAACCCAAAGCCCCAGCUCUGGUUUGCCCACUAAAAUAUGUGAAAAAUUUAAAAUAAUGCUAGACACACAAUGAUCACUCAGAAACUUUCGCUCAGUAAAUGGGCAUAUUAUUUUCAAGUCCCCAAGGCUGUGCUGUUUUAGCUGUAAUUUGGAAAAAAUAGCAAGUGUCAUAGAGAGUUCACUACUUUAUCACAAUGGCCAGAGUGGCUGCUGCUGCCUGAAUCCCUUUAGAGAACUCUCAGAGGCCAGAUGAGAAGCUUUGAAACCUUUGUUCUGAUAUUUUUAGUAGAAAUGAUGGCCCAGGAGAGAAAGUGUUAAUAAAAAUGUCCUGAAGGUACAGAUGGUGCUUAUGAGGAACCAGCCUAUUUUUCAAUUUGCAAAAAUGAUUAGCUAGGAUCCCACUGAGUUCACUGCACGGGCCACUGCUAGUCUUAAUUUGUGCCAAUAGGAUAGAGAGAUGGACUUUAAUGAGGACCUGUGUUUUCUAAUCAUGAGCAGUGUUACAGGAAAUGGCAGAGGGUGUGGGGAGGGUGAAAGAUAAUUGGAGGAUUCAGAAGAUGAGGCUGUUUCUCCAGAUGGAGAUCUGCUUUGCUACCUUUCAGUAUGAGUCCUGCCUCAGUGCUUCCUAUUUGGCCAGGGAAGAGAAGGAAGGGGAAUGUCAUAAUUAACCAGCGAAGCAGGUUGUGUGAGGCUCUCAGGCACAACUCCAGAGUCAGACAGCAUGAGUUUGUUUCUACUGAAUUUUGUUUUCUCAUUUAAAAACUGGAAAACAAUCACAUUUCUGUCAUAGGAGUUUAGGAAGCAUGAUGAUGCAAUGAGAGACUGUAACAAUGUCUUUCAUAUGCUGUUUUGGUAUAAGUUUGUAAUAACCUUUGAUUUUACACAUUUGCCCAUCUAGAAAAAACAGUCCAGCAAUCUUUAACCCUUGGAAAAAAAAAACUUGACUCAACACAGAAAAUUCUGUUCCUUGAAUGCAUUAUACCAUGGAGGAGAAGUGGGGUAUGUGUGCUGUGAUAAAUCCUCCUGAGUGGCUGUGAUAUUAUCUUCUACCCUUGGCUUCUGUUGAGAAUCAUUUCAUGCUUAUAAUAGAGAAAUCCGGGCUCAGCACAUGCCUGGUGCAAUAGUAAUAUGUGGACUCAAGUCACAAAGUACAAUUUCCUGGAGAAGUGAUUUUGGGUUAAGAAAAGCCCUGUUUCCAUUUUCCUUAAUGUUUCUCUGCAUAGAUUUUUGUGGUGAUCACAAUGGCACACACUGGACUAGGUAUCCACGUGCUGGACCAGGUAUCCACAUGUUCUUUCUUGACAAUUUUUAGAAGCAUUUGUAUUCUGAGGGCAUUGCUGAUCAUUUGAACAAGGGAUUCCAGAGACAAGCAGAUAUAUAUUGUGCUUCCACCAGAAUUCAGUUGCAAGGCUGUGGUUGCUUUAAUUUGGCUCAUGGCCAAAUGUGAAGACCAUUUUGAGGAAUGAGCAAGAUGACUCAGAUAUCCUGCCUAAAGUCUUCUGGAAGAAGUGCCUAACAUUGCCUGUUUUGAGCCAAGAUCACACUACGUAGUUCAGGCUUCAGUUAUUGUUAUACCUGCAUUGGUCCUAAGAAUAUCGGGGUUACUGGCUUGAACCAACAUGUCCUGAAGAUUAUCUUAUGUUAAAGAACAGGAGUCCAUACAUUUCCUGAAAUUUUAUUAAACAUGUUUUAUCGAGAUGUAUUUUAUUUUAUCUGGGUGAGAGACAAUAGAGUCACAUUAGUUUGAAAAUUAGGCAUAAGAACUACCUCUUUCUUCUGGAGAGAUGGCUUUAGUGGUUGAGAGUCUGUGUACUGCUCUUGAGGAGGAUCUGAGUUUAGUUCUUAGCAUAUGAAUCAGGUGGCUCCCUAUCACCUGUAACUCUAGCUCCAGGUAAUCAGAUGCACUUUUGGACCUCUGUAGGCAUCUCCACUCAUAUGCAUACAACAACACACAGACACACACAGACACACACACACACACACACACACACACACACACACACACACACACACACACACCUAAAUAUAAAGAGAAAUAAAUCUUAAAAAAGAACUACCUCCCUAAGGAAUAAUAGAAAUCUUUUCCUAUCACUUUACUUCUAUCAACUGUAGAAAUAAUAUAAAGAAGCCAUACUUUCUCCCCAGAAGGAGACCCUGUUUCAGUUUGGAAGAUGGACAUACCAAACAAACUAUCACAAUAUAACUCAAGUCAAUAUGAUAGAGAGCCUGGUCCUGGAAGGGGAAAGGCAGUUGGAGAGAGAGGAAAAGGAUUAUUGGAGAGAGAAGGCUAAGGGCUUUCUACAUAGGAAUCUGAGGAUAUUUCUGGUUCUCUGUUUCUGAUAGAAUCAUGGGAGAAGCAACAGUGUCUCCACACCUAGCUACCAGGUCACUCUAAGUUUCCUUCUAUGCCACUCACCCCAGGGAAAAGCUGCCUCAGCCUCCCUGCAGCUUUUGUUCUUCAGAAUUCUGGAUCUUCCUUGGAGGCCAGUUCAGUGCAUUUGUUCCAGAGACAGGCAUGAAAAGGAAAUAUAAAACAACCCACAGAAACACAUCCAGGAAACAUAUUGUUGUGCAAGCUAAUUAGCUUAUGCAAAAGCAGUACUCUAAUCAAGAUUUCUAUAUACUGUGCAUGGCCUAAUUAUAGCAACAAUAAUACUCUGGAUUUACAAAGAGCCUUUCAAUAUGCAUCUAUGCAAUUAUUUCAAUUAUCCACCAAAUAUCCUCAGGAUACAGAAAGAGGUAGACGAAGAA
Mus musculus (house mouse) is the source of this 5386-nucleotide long non-coding RNA. RefSeq annotates it as predicted gene, 32773. NCBI's taxonomy places the organism in Eukaryota, Metazoa, Chordata, Mammalia, Rodentia, Muridae. The transcript is spliced from 3 exons. The record is from RefSeq and is a predicted model, not a curated record.